RNAcentral lists this ribosomal RNA (234 nucleotides) under uncultured Glomus. RNAcentral describes it as "partial small subunit ribosomal RNA". It matches the Rfam family "Eukaryotic small subunit ribosomal RNA", at positions 548 to 785 of the family's 1831-position model. The record is from RNAcentral. Lineage: Eukaryota; Fungi; Glomeromycota; Glomeromycetes; Glomerales; Glomeraceae.
UUGGAGGGCAAGUCUGGUGCCAGCAGCCGCGGUAAUUCCAGCUCCAAUAGCGUAUAUUAAAGUUGCUGCAGUUAAAAAGCUCGUAGUUGAAUUUCGGGACUAAUAUAUCGGUCGUGCCUCGGUACGUACUGGUAUUUUUGGUUUCUCCCUUCUGACGAACCUUGAUGUCAUUAAUUUGGUGUCUUGGGGAAUCAGGACUGUUACUUUGAAAAAAUUAGAGUGUUUAAAGCAGGC